RNAcentral lists this long non-coding RNA (1919 nucleotides) under Camelus dromedarius (Arabian camel). Its description in RNAcentral is "lncRNA (ENSCDRG00005006672.1)". Lineage: Eukaryota; Metazoa; Chordata; Mammalia; Artiodactyla; Camelidae. The record is from RNAcentral.
GCCGGACCUGAGACGGCCCCACUGAGUCCGGGGGCCGCGUCACCCCUGCAGCACCAGCCUCUCUGGCAGAGAGACUGAGUUGUGGCAGCAGAGCUGACCAAAAGCUGACGGUCUCUGUUUGUCCACCAUGGGGCUGUCACCCUCAGGGCUUCCUCUGUCCGUGGUAGCAUUCUUCUUGUGUUUCCUUAGAUUCAGUGUUUGUCUGUCGGCGUCCGUUCAAUGACUGCAGGACCAAACGAGCGGCCAGUUGUCUUUCUCUCCCCUGCCGUCCCGAGCAGCCUUCUCUCGGUACCCAGCCCUGAACCACCCAGCGCCAGCGCGAUCUCCAUCCUCCCCCGUCCAGAGCUGGAGUCUGUGUCUCCACCUCUUGACUGUUCUGGCCACCCGAGUCCUGCCGAAGUGAUGCCCUAUGACUUUCCAAGGUGCAGGGUGGCUGCCACGCUGUAAGGAAGCCUAGGGCCGUGUGCUACACGGGACAUUAAAGGCCCUCCUCGACCUCCAGGGCCCACACAUCCUGACCAACCUCUAUCUCCAGCCUCCCGCUUGCUCAUUGGCCCCGGACCCACUCUGGCUCGCUGACCUUGACUACACCAAGCCUCUCACUUGCUGAUCCCUGUGCCUGCCCUCAGCCACUGCCUUCUUCACUGGAAUAGCACCCUCUCUGGGCACCCUUCUAACGCUAUAUAAAUGGUACCCCUCAAGGUAAACGUCUUCUUUAAAGGGAAUGCCAAUAAAUACGGAGAGUUAGAAAGUCAACAAUGGACGCUCGAGUUGGUGAGUGCAAGUCGUCUUGGAGUGUGGAGGUCACAGAGGGUGCUGCUCAGACACCCUUCAAGGCUCCACCUGUCUUUGAGCUUCAAGUCCACAGCAGUAUUUUAGCCAAUGGCACACUUUUCCUGGCGGCCCCAGACACUGGCUGAGCUCAGCACAGGCGCUGGGGUCUGGCCAUUUCUGCCCAACACAAGAUUUCCCAAAUAGGCAGUCUCUGCCUCGGAACGACUGGGUCAGCCCAGACGUUGCCCUGUCUGCACUCUCUCUCUCCCACGCGCAAGACAGGAUGCAACACCAUACUCCUACUUGCAUCUCAGCAUCUGCUGACAGGAAAGCCUAUAACUCUCAAAGCAUUUGUUUCUCCACAAGCUACUUAUUAGUUACAAAAGUAAAAGUGGGGGAGAAACCUGGCAAGCAAUUCCAUAAUCAAGUGGUUAAAGCUGACAUUUUCCAUGUUGGGACAGGCCUCCUGAUACCAUGCACAGAGAAGGACACAAUGUAAUCUCUGCGGUAUUCUGCUAAAAAUGUGUAACCCAGUUAUAAUCACGAGGAGACAUCAGAUGAACUCAAGUUGAGAGGCAUUCUACAAAAUAACUAGCCUGGACUUUUCAGGAAUGCCAAGGUCAAGAAAAACAAAGAAAUGCUGAAGAACUGUUCCAGAUUAAGACUGAAAAUGAGACACAACAACUAUAGGCAGCGCAGGAUCCCGGACCGGGGAAAAUGCGGUGAAGAUCAUUUGACAGAACUGGGUAUGGACUGUGGUCUAGACAGUAGUAUUGCGUUAAUCUUGAAUUUCCCGAUUUUGAUCCUUGUGCUGUGACUUGUAAGAGAAUGACCUUGUCCUAAGGAAAUACACAGUGAAAUAUUUAGUUAUCUUCCACUUCCUCUCAAAUGGACCAGAGGAAAAACUCACUGUGUGCUUAUGAACAUUUAUAGCGGGAAUGACUUUUAAAAAUGGAGCAAAUGUAAACAGUUGGUACACUUGGGUAAAGCAUAUUGGGGAGUUUCUGGAACUAGUCUUGCAACUUUUCUGUAACUUAAAAUUAUGCCCAGAUUUAAAGUUACAAAGGAAGUGCACACUCCCUUCAUUGUUUCCUGUAAUAAUGAUAAUAUAAUGGUACCGUGGUAAAAUGGUGACAAAAUAUACG